RNAcentral lists this ribosomal RNA (776 nucleotides) under uncultured Neocallimastigales. RNAcentral describes it as "partial large subunit ribosomal RNA". It matches the Rfam family "Eukaryotic large subunit ribosomal RNA", at positions 26 to 644 of the family's 3401-position model. The record is from RNAcentral. Lineage: Eukaryota; Fungi; Neocallimastigomycota; Neocallimastigomycetes; Neocallimastigales.
CGCAUCUGUGCAUGCAGCAUAUCAAUAAGCGGAGGAAAAGAAACUAACAAGGAUUCCCUUAGUAACGGCGAGUGAAGCGGGAAGAGCUCAAAUUUGAAAUCUUCAAGGUUUUACCUUGACGAAUUGUAGUUUAAAGAAGUGUUUUCUGUUGAAGUUUUGGUAAAAGUUCUUUGGAAUAGGACAUCAUAGAGGGUGAGAAUCCCGUAUUUGACCAUUAUUUUCAGCUGUGUGAUACACUUUCAAAGAGUCGGAUUGUUUGGGAAUGCAGUCCAAAAUGGGUGGUAAAUUUCAUCUAAAGCUAAAUAUUGGCGAGAGACCGAUAGGCGAACAAGUACCGUGAGGGAAAGAUGAAAAGAACUUUGAAAAGAGAGUUAAACAGUACGUGAAAUUGUCAAAAGGGAAGCGUUUGACACCAGUGUUGUUUUCUCGAAAAUCAAUUAAAAAGAGUUAGAUUUUGUUGUGUAUUAGACCUUAACAGCUUGCAUUUCAAUUUUCUUGCUUUUUUUAAUGCACUUUUCGUUUAACAAGUCAACAUCAGUUUCUUUUGUUGUAAAAAGGUCAUUGGAAGGUGGCUUUCUUUUCGGAGAAAGUGUUUAUAGCCUUUGACUCCUGCAAUCGGAGAGACUGAGGUCUGCAGCGUAGAUCCUUCGGGGUUAGAUACAUUUGUGCUAAGUUAUAGCUUUUUAUAGACAACUUGUUGACUAUGAUUAGUCUUGUAGCUUACUCGCUUAUGCUAUUUUACCUACGCUUAGGAUGUUGACACACGCGCGUGCUCG